CAGCCAUAUUAUGUUGAAAUACCAGUUCUGGUAUGAUCACUGAAGCUAAGCAACAUUGAGCCUGGUCAGUACCUAGAUGGGUGACUGCUUGGCAAUAUCAAAUGCUGU
Non-coding RNA from Acanthosepion pharaonis, 108 nucleotides. NCBI's taxonomy places the organism in Eukaryota, Metazoa, Mollusca, Cephalopoda, Sepiida, Sepiidae. The record is from the annotation of a GenBank genome assembly.